RNAcentral lists this ribosomal RNA (1227 nucleotides) under metagenome. Its description in RNAcentral is "bacterial SSU rRNA". It matches the Rfam family "Bacterial small subunit ribosomal RNA", at positions 8 to 1240 of the family's 1533-position model. The record is from RNAcentral.
AGAGUUUGAUCCUGGCUCAGGAUGAACGCUGGCGGCGUGCCUAAUACAUGCAAGUCGAACGAAGAUGUUCUUGAGUUUACUCGGGAGCUCUUAGUGGCGAACGGGUGAGUAACGCGUUGGUGACCUGCCCUAAAGAAGGGAACAACCUCGGGAAACUGAGGCUAAUACCCUAUGUGCUUCUUAAGAUUAGAUGCUUUUGAAGUAAAGGUUCUGUGGACGAAAGGCUACAGUGCCGCUUUAGGAGGGGCCUGCGUACCAUCAGCUAGUUGGUAGGGUAUGGCCUACCAAGGCGAUGACGGUUAGGGGACCUGAGAGGGUGACCCCCCACACUAGCACUGAAACACGGGCUAGACACCUACGGGUGGCAGCAGUAGGGAAUCUUGCACAAUCGACGAAAGUCUGAUGCAGCAACGCCGCGUGUGCGAUGAAGGCCUUCGGGUUGUAAAGCACUUUUCUGAGGGAAGAGAAAGGACGGUACCUCAGGAAUAAGUCUCGGCUAACUACGUGCCAGCAGCCGCGGUAAUACGUAGGAGGCGAGCGUUAUCCGGAUUUAUUGGGCGUAAAGCGCGUGCAGGUGGUUUGGCAAGUUGGGUAUGAAAUCUUCUGGCUUAACUAGGAGAGGUUGCUCAAAACUGCCAGACUAGAGGACGAUAGAGGAAGGUGGAAUUCCCGGUGUAGUAGUGAAAUGCGUAGAUAUCGGGAGGAACACCAGUGGCGAAGGCGGCCUUCUGGGUCGUUCCUGACACUAAGACGCGAAAGCAUGGGUAGCAAACGGGAUUAGAAACCCCGGUAGUCCAUGCCGUAAACGAUGUGAACUUGAUGUCGGUGGUGUAAUAACCAUCGGUGUCGUAGCUAACGCGAUAAGUUCACCGCCUGGGGAGUACGAUCGCAAGGUUAAAACUCAAAGGAAUUGACGGGGACCCGCACAAGCAGCGGAGCGUGUGGUUUAAUUCGAUGCUACACGAAGAACCUUACCUGGACUUGACAUAUAGGUGGUAGGGAUCCGAAAGGUGACCGACCCCUCGGGGAGCUUAUACAGGUGCUGCAUGGCUGUCGUCAGCUCGUGCCGUGAGGUGUCCGGUUAAGUCCGGUAACGAGCGCAACCCUUGCCGUAUGUUACAUGUGUCAUGCGGGACUGCCGGUACAAAACCGGAGGAAGGUGGGGACGACGUCAAGUCAGCAUGGCCUUUAUGUCCAGGGCUACACACACGCUACAAUGGUCGGUAC